This is a long non-coding RNA of Tachysurus fulvidraco (yellow catfish), 547 nucleotides long. RefSeq lists it as uncharacterized. The record is from RefSeq and is a predicted model, not a curated record. NCBI's taxonomy places the organism in Eukaryota, Metazoa, Chordata, Actinopteri, Siluriformes, Bagridae. The transcript has 3 exons.
ACUUCUCUGCCACUGUAGUAGAAACCCUAUUGCUAAGAGAAACCAAAAGCACUUUUCCAACUCCUCAUUCACAAGGCGACUUUCAAAAGAGCAAAACAUUUGUCUGAAAUCUUUUCUCACAAGGACUGCAAGACUUGAGGUUUGCAACAAUUCUAGACCGUGCUAACAGUUUCUCUUCUCUGCAGUGAUCAGCUAUAGAGAUUAUCUACAAACUGAUGAUGAAUCUCACACAGAAUAUGUCACCAUUACAAAAGUCUGAAUUGUCACAAAUCACCACCCAAGGAGACCAGUUAAAGAGAGCAAAUGUAGACGAACUCAUUAAAAAGAACAAGUUUUAUUGUGAGCUUGUACAGGAGUGUGGAGGUGGACUUUAUGUAUUCAAAAACAAAGACCUGGGGAACAGAGAUCAGGUCUGUGAGCUGCUGCAGAAGAUAGACAGAAUGAUUGAGAACAAUGGAGGAAGCAGUAAGACGUUUGAUGAAGCAAAAAAAAUUCGACAGGAGGAGGAGAAGAAUGGAGGUGAAAACAGGAUGAAGAGAAUGGAGGA